AUUGAACGCUGGCGGCAGGCCUAACACAUGCAAGUCGAGCGGUAACACAGGGAGCUUGCUCCUGGGUGACGAGCGGCGGACGGGUGAGUAAUGUCUGGGAAACUGCCUGAUGGAGGGGGAUAACUACUGGAAACGGUAGCUAAUACCGCAUAAUGUCGCAAGACCAAAGAGGGGGACCUUCGGGCCUCUUGCCAUCAGAUGUGCCCAGAUGGGAUUAGCUAGUAGGUGGGGUAAUGGCUCACCUAGGCGACGAUCCCUAGCUGGUCUGAGAGGAGGGCCAGCCUCACUGGACCUGAGACACGGUCCAGACUCCUACGGGAGGCAGCAGUGGGGAAUAUUGCACAAUGGGCGCAAGCCUGAUGCAGCCAUGCCGCGUGUAUGAAGAAGGCCUUCGGGUUGUAAAGUACUUUCAGCGAGGAGGAAGGCAUUGUGGUUAAUAACCACAGUGAUUGACGUUACUCGCAGAAGAAGCACCGGCUAACUCCGUGCCAGCCGCCGCCGUAA
RNAcentral lists this ribosomal RNA (504 nucleotides) under uncultured bacterium. RNAcentral describes it as "partial 16S ribosomal RNA". It matches the Rfam family "Bacterial small subunit ribosomal RNA", at positions 30 to 523 of the family's 1533-position model. The record is from RNAcentral.